Molecule: non-coding RNA, 30 nt
Filed under: Mus musculus (house mouse)
Lineage: Eukaryota; Metazoa; Chordata; Mammalia; Rodentia; Muridae
Source: RNAcentral
UGCCAAAUAAGCUCUAGUCUUGAACGUGGU